GCGCAUUGUCAUUCUAGGAAAUUCCCUCAAGUGGGGCUCCCGGUGACCCGCCCGCCAUGUGUCAGGCCACCUCGCCCCUGGAAAGCAGCUUUUUUCCAGAUUUGAUCAGAACAAGCUGCUUCUCUCCCCCUGGCCUUUCCCGGAAGGAGCCCACUUUCCCAACGCUUCCUGGGUUCACCUGAAUUCCUUACCAACAUGUAUUUCUUCCACUUUGUUAUUUUUGGAUUAAUGUAAAUGAAGUCUGUCUUGGGCUCUCUAAGAUAAAUGAAAGGGAUGCUAGGGUCAGAAGCUUCAGUGUUGGCUCUGCUGGAGAAAGAUUAAGGGCUGAACGCCUCGAGGGUGGAGAGGCACCGUCACCUUCUCAGCCUGGAGAGCUCUGUCCAGCUCUGCAGACGAGGCCCUGGAAGCUCACCUGAAGCCGACGAAGGGAGGAGGGAGUGGAGUGCCCACUGCCCGGGCUAGGGCAGCCAGACCCUGGCGGCUUCGUGGCAGCUGCUGUACUCAUUGCCAGCUUCAGGGCGGUGGGACCACGGAGGAAGAACGUGAACGCCUGGACUCCCACUUGGAAUCUGAAUGCAGUCCAGGGAUUUGGCAUUUGAGUCCCUAGAGCUCGUUGCUAGCCAUCCUCCUCCCCGGCGAGAAUAAUCCAUUUCAAACUUCUGAGCUGUCUAGACUUGUUAUCUGGCCCCCUAAUUCCUGAGAGCCUAGAGCGGGCAGCAGCGGGACCGCCGAGAUAGCAAGGGGGUGAGGUCAUUGGCGCGGUCCCGAGGCAGGAAGUCCAUUCCGGGGGACGAUGGAUGAGUGUGGAGCUGGUGCCCGAACGGGGCCAGAUAACGCGUCUAGACCCGGCAGGCCGUUUCCUCCUCUUCCCCGGUGUCCUAUCGGCAUCCUCCUGCCUUCCUGCUGCUCUUCCGAGCCUCUCUGGAGAAGCCUCUCAGGAGGUUUUACUUCAUUUUCAGUGUAAGGGGCGGCCGGUGUCUCUUGGCCUCGGCUAGGUGUGGGCGCGUUUUCUAAGUCACAGUGACGGUGGGGCCGGGAGGCCUUUCUGGAGAGGCCGUGCUGGCCUCUGUCACUUUGUCCUUUCAGAGAGUUCAGUGGGUUAGGGGAAAAAUGACGUUUUCUCUCCCUGGUCUCCAAAGGUCAGUGGAAGGCCAGUGGUGGGACUGGGAGGACAGGAGUUGAUGUCAAACAGACCCAGAAAUUUCCACAAGUCCUGGGGGACAAAAGAGCCUGGAGCAAGUCUUAUCUAAGACAGCCCCUGGGAGCCGCAGAAUGCCGAAUAAACUCGCCUUUCCGGAAGGAGUGGCUAAUUUCAUUGGCCCAUGUGCACUCUGGCUGAUCUUGAAUCCUGGGGCUAGGGUUGGACAAGAGGUCAAAAGGUCAUUUGGUUCAAUCCCCUGCCUCCAGGCAGGAUUCCCCCAGCAAAGAGGAAUCGUGUGUGUUCCAAUAUUCAAAGACACACGUGGGGGCUGCAGGAGAGGAAGUGGCCUCCGGAGCACCUGCGGGGGUGGAUGAAGUGGUAAUCCCCACCAGCUGUGCUGAGUCUCUGAGCCCCAAUAGUGCUGUGGGUUUGGAACAACUGCAUUGUGGGGAACAUCUGUGCAGAAGGGUACGGUGUGUCAGGAGGGCCACUGCCACCCCAAUGAUGAUGACAACGGUAAAAGCAAAAAUGAAUUGAGCACGCACUGAUGCCAGCUGAUGUCAAGUGGCUGGACAAAUGCUGGUGAAUCUCAUUUAAUCAUAAAAUAAACCUGGGCAGGGGCUGUCAUAAUUAUGCCCCAACUGAGGCUCAAAGGAAAGGUGUCUGCCGAAGGCACCUGGUUUGUAAGAAGUAGGGUGGGAAUGUGAGCCCAGGUGAGGCUGCUUUCAGAGCUCAGGAUGGAAUAGCUCAACUCUUCUGCCCUAAACACAUGUGUUCGAUUCAU
Molecule: long non-coding RNA, 1925 nt
Organism: Homo sapiens (human)
Lineage: Eukaryota; Metazoa; Chordata; Mammalia; Primates; Hominidae
Source: Ensembl